AAAAGAGGCAGCUGGAAGGUAAUAGAAAGAGACUGGGUACCAGAACUGGAAGACCUGCCUCAUGCAGUGAUGGAUGGGCCAUGAGGACGUGCAGUCAUUUAUCCAGCAGAGCACAGACAGUGUGUGUGCACCCACAUACACACCAAACUCCCUCUAAGAACACUACGCUACUCUCAGAGCAAUGGGCUUUGGACAAAUGGGAAACUGAGGUUUGGGGUUAAAUAACUUGAAUCUGAAGACUUCUAACGCUCAUUACCGUUUAUCUAGGAGAGUCUUCCUGUGUGCCAGUAUUGUGGAUGAGGAAUACAGGAAGAGUAAGCUGGGCCAUUCCCCUCUGGUCCACUUAUUUUCAGCUGGGGCACCUGGAACAGAAUGAAUCACAAGAUAGUUUCUUCACUCACAUGGGUGGCACCUCUGUGCUCCUUGGCAUCUCUCUCUAUAUGGAGUUUCAUCCUUCAUGUCCUCUCCAUGGACCUGGUUUUAACUUCUCACAAAGUAGUGACCUCCAGAUAGUUGGACAUCUUGCAUGGUGGCUCAGGGCUCCAAGAGAACAAGGCAGAAACUGCCAGUCUCCUUAAGCUCUAGACCUAGAACUGGCGUAGUGUCUCUUAUGCCCAUCUCUAUUGGUCAAGGUUGUCACAAACAAGCCCAGAUUCAAGGGGAAGGAAAUGGACCUCAUCUCUUAAUGAGAGGAGUAUCAAAAAAUUGGCAGCCUUGAUUUGCAUUUCUUUAAUGAUUAGUGAUGUUGAGCAUUCUUUCAUGUGUUUGUUGGCAAUCUGUAUAUCUUCUUUGGAGAAAUGUCUAUUUAGGUCUUCUGCCCAUUUUUGGUUGGGUUGUUUGUUUUUUUGAUAUUGAGCAAAAACUAAAGAUAGAACUACCAUACAACCCAGCAAUCCCACUACUGGGCAUAUACCCUGAGAAAACCAUAACUCGAAAGAGUCAUGUACCACAGUGUUCACUGCAGCUCUAUUUACAAUAGCCGGGACAUGGAAGCAACCUAAGUGUCCAUCGACAGAUGAAUGGAUAAAGAAGAUGUGGCACAUAUAUACAAUGGAAUAUUACUCAGCCAUAAAAAGAAAUGAAAUUGAGUUAUUUGUAGUGAGGUGGAUGGACCUAGAGUCUGUCAUACAGAGUGAAGUAAGUCAGAAAGAGAAAAACAAAUACCUUAUGCUAACACAUAUAUAUGGAAUCUAAAAAAAAAAAAAAAUGGUU
Molecule: long non-coding RNA, 1212 nt
Organism: Balaenoptera acutorostrata (minke whale)
Lineage: Eukaryota; Metazoa; Chordata; Mammalia; Artiodactyla; Balaenopteridae
Exons: 3
Source: RefSeq, a predicted model, not a curated record